Oreochromis aureus is the source of this 1709-nucleotide long non-coding RNA. NCBI's taxonomy places the organism in Eukaryota, Metazoa, Chordata, Actinopteri, Cichliformes, Cichlidae. The record is from Ensembl.
GGCAAGGAAGCAGCUGGCCUCAUGGAGGUUAUCAUUUCCGCCAGAAAGGGAACCAAGAGCACCUACUUGAGCCGGGAGACCCACUACGCCCAACCAAAUACUUGAAUACAGUAUCCAAGUUUGAUCCCUACCCAAUGCCCAGGAUGGAUGAUCUGUUGGAGAGAGUUGGAUCAGCGAGCUACAUUACAACACUGGACCUGUGUAAGGGAUACUGGCAAGUGGCUUUGGCACCAGAAGGGAAAGAGCUGACAGCCUUCAAAACUCCUUUUGUAUGUCUGGAUGACGUGGUGGUGUAUAGCCAGUCCUGGGAAAAGCAUGUGAUUCACCUACAGAAGGUGCUACACUGCUUCAGAAUAACUGGACUGACUGUUGACCCCAAGAAGUGUUCCAUAGCCCAGAGAGAAGUGGAGUACUUGGGCUUUGUGGUUGGCUCUGGGAAGAUGAAGCUGCAGGCUGGAAAGAUUGAGGCAAUCCAGUCCUUCUCAGUUCUGAUGACAAAAAAGGAAGGUGAGAGGUUUUCUAGGUCUGGUAGGCUGGUACAGGAAAUUCAUACCUUCCUUUGCAGAGCGAUCCACUGCACUGAAUGACCUCACAAAGGGUUCAGCCCCCAAAAAAGUGCGUUGGACUGAAUAUGAGCAUGCAUUCAGAGACCUCAAGGAAGCAGUAUGCACACAUCCAGUUUUACAUAGCCCAGACUUCAGCAAGCCAUUCAUCUUGCAAACAGGUGCUUCAGGAGUAGGUCUUGGAGCUGUCUUUCAGCACGAGGUGGAUGGUGAAAGAAGGCCUGUGGUGUUUGAGUCGGAAAUCAUCAUGAUCAUUGUGCCCUCCAGUAGCUGAACCGCAUGAGGGAUGCAAAUGCUCGCAUUGCAGGAUGGUACCUGUCUCUGCAGCCUUAUGACUUUACGGUCCCGUACAGGCCAGGGAAGUCAAAUGUGGUUGCUGACUGUUUAUCCAGGAUAACAGAGGACUGAAGUACUUUGCACUUAAGAGAGGGGAGGAAGUGUAAGGAUGAGGACUCCCUUACUACUAUUAUAUUAUAAUUUGUAUAGCACUUUAGAAGGACCUUUUACUUUAUUAAAAGCACCUUAUCUAUCACUUUAUUUAGCAUUGCACUUUAAACAUAGAUUUGCACAUGAAGAACAUUUGCACACAAGAAGUCUAAGUUUGUGUGAGUGGAAAAUUUAGAAGUAAAGGUGGUACAAAGAAGUGACUAAGAUGUGAUUACUCACCUUUCUUUCCUGUGUCCUCUUCAGGGUGUUUGGGCAAAUGUUUCCCCGGGGGUCCAGACACUAUUUAAAGGUUCUGGGAGAGGCCAUGGGUUAAGGGAGUGUGGGGAAUCUUUUGUGCUUAGGUUUUUUGGUGUUUUUACAAUAAUGGGUAUGGUGUAAGGAUAAAGUGUAAAAUAUGUAUUAAUAUGAAAAUGUAAAAUGUAUAUAUUAUAUAUUUAUUUAUUGAAAUUGAUGUACUGACAGCUGAAAGUAUUUAAGGCUGCUAGUGGUCAUUAGAUACAGUUUUGUGAGGAGGGCUAUACUGUGAAUACAUGCCUCGUUCCGCUAUACUUGUCUUGGUGUGCCUCACUGUAAAUCCAGCCGCGAAAGGCCGCACUGUUACAGAGAUGUAGAAUAUAAACAUAUCUUUCUGUAAAGCACUUUGGGUCUGCUCUUGUUGUUUAAAUUUGCCUUGAAAUAUAAAUAAAAUGGAUGUGGCAC